Long non-coding RNA from Aedes albopictus (Asian tiger mosquito), 991 nucleotides. RefSeq lists it as uncharacterized. NCBI's taxonomy places the organism in Eukaryota, Metazoa, Arthropoda, Insecta, Diptera, Culicidae. The record is from RefSeq and is a predicted model, not a curated record. The transcript is spliced from 3 exons.
GGGUUGGAAACUCUGACACCUUGUGUGAAACACCCAUUUCACACACCUAAAACACCUUUUGACACCUUUUCGACACCUUCCAAUUGUAACACCAUGAUGAUUUUUUAUUUUACUGGCGUCACUGGUCUGCCGAUGUUUAUGUUUACACUUUCAGUUUUUAUGGUCGCUGUGCGGAACGAAACAGGCAGCAAGUAAAUACCGGAUACGAGCAACAGCGCAGAAUCAAGUGAAUAAGCGGAUACAACGACCAGGCGGCAAACAAGACUGCAGAAGGAGCGAACGCUGAAAUCCUCCGCAUUGAAACCCUCAUUGGGCGACUCCGGUUCCUACAAACCGUCAUUAUCAUUCACAGCACGGUGCUGCUCUAUCGCUACCAUUGCAACCCAAAGCCGGAAUGAGGGAGGUCGAUUGCCAGAUCCUCAGCUCCGGCAACAUAGUUUUCAGAAAGAUCAUCUUUAAUGAAGAGCAGCAUAUGGAAACAAAAACACCCUGACCAGUCGCGACGACCAGCGCGGAACGGAGAUUCCGAAAAAAAGGGAUCGAGUGAAAUCCUGAAAGGGGCAACCAUGUGGAACCGGUAUGGAAUUUUUGGUACAUAGAAGCUAGGGGUGCUUAAACGAAGGACUACCGGAAGCAACAGCGAAGUGAACGAUGUCAAACUGGGCGUGAAAGUCGGAAGCGGAUUGCUUCAGUUGCCCAGUGGUAAUCUAAACGACACUUAAACUGGUUCAAAUCGGAUUCGACAAUUGUUGCCCAGGCCAUCGCCAAAAAAUCUCUUAAGCACAAGGAACAACUCCACCAACAACCCCAGUGUUCAUGGAUUUUUUUUUCCAUUGGCCAUGGUAAAAAAAAAAACCUUUGGAACAAUCGACCAUCUCGCUGAUGUCAUCCCACCGUCAUAUUAUUCAACGUACAACACUUCCUCGUCCUGAAUCGUCCGAAUCACUUCUGAAGGUAUUCGUCACUAUCAGUCAUCUCUGGACCAAGCUCG